CAUUUGUAAAAUGUGUAAAAUUGUUAUACAGUGUUUUGUUUUCAAAGAAAUAUGCUACCAGCUGGGAUUCUGGUAGAAAUGUUUAAAAAUGCUAUAUUUUUUUGCUAGAGGACUUUGAAAACAACAUAUACAGACACAAAAUAAUAAGUCACCCUUGAAAUAAUUUUUUGUGAAUUUUAAUGGAGAUACCAAGUCAAGAGACAAGAUGAACAGAAUAAAAUAUAGUUCCUCUGAAAAUUCUUUCUAUAAACUAUGUAGCAUGACAACAAUGAGUAAAAAGGAUUCUGGGAUUUUUUUUAUUGACACUUGACCUUAUAGUCCUAUUUACAGACUUGCAGAGGCUUGGUCUGUAAACAUAAUGCUAAUGGAACUUCUUCAUCAACAUUGACCUGUCUAUGUCACAUAACAAAAGGCAC
Molecule: non-coding RNA, 416 nt
Organism: Pelobates cultripes (western spadefoot toad)
Lineage: Eukaryota; Metazoa; Chordata; Amphibia; Anura; Pelobatidae
Source: the annotation of a GenBank genome assembly